This 316-nucleotide ribosomal RNA is filed under the name Armadillo officinalis (oak-woodland pillbug). RNAcentral's name for it is "partial small subunit ribosomal RNA". Lineage: Eukaryota; Metazoa; Arthropoda; Malacostraca; Isopoda; Armadillidae. The record is from RNAcentral.
ACACAUUCAAUAUGAUGGUCAUUUAAGCAUAUUAAACAUUAAAUUACUUUCAAAUCCAUUUUCUAUUUUUUUUUUAUAAUAAAUUCCAGUUUUUGUUAAAUUGUAAUCCACCUUGUCCUAACUAAAGCUGCACCUGGAUCUAUUUUUUUUAGUUAAUUUUAAUUGGAAUAACCUUUUUAAAAAGGUAUUUAUACAACGGUAUACAUACUUUUAGCAGGUAAGAUAUAUCGUGGGGUAUCGUUUAUUAGGCAGAUUCCUCUGAGGGUAUAGGAUGCCGCCAAGUUCUUUAGGUUUCAAGAUAGUAGCUAUUAGUACC